This is a non-coding RNA of Arachis ipaensis, 2226 nucleotides long. The record is from RefSeq and is a predicted model, not a curated record. Lineage: Eukaryota; Viridiplantae; Streptophyta; Magnoliopsida; Fabales; Fabaceae.
AGAAAUCACUUAUAAAGCGUAGCCGUAGGUUGAUAUCUAUGGGUUCACUUUUCGUAUCAAAGAGAACGCUUUUAAAAAGUAACUUAUUUAUUAUGUUUUGGGUGCUUUUUAAAAGUUAUGCCUAAUGUAUGUAUGGCAAAUCCCUAACACUUAGUAAAUUUUUUGUUCCCCUUUCAAUUUCCUCCAGAAGAACACACACCCACGAGACACUUUGCGCAUAGGAAACCCUCUUCCCUCCAGAAGCACACCCUUUCGCCAUUCUCACCUUCACACAUAACCCUCACCUUCGCCAACCCUUUCGCACACAACACACCCUCAAAUAAACUCAGCAAAAAUUUGCCCUCACCCAGUCACCCUCACUCACGCGACAUACACCCUCAUCCUCACUCCACCCAUACACGAAAGAGGGAAGAAAUCUGAAAGGGAGAACGGGAAGAAGAAGAAUAGUGAGGGAAGAAAGGAAAGGACGACGCCGGCUAAGGCUCCACCGCCGUCGUUGUCGAGCGCCAGUGAGAGAGAGAGAGCUCGAGGAAAAGAGAAAACGCGAUGGAGGAGAGAAGAAGGGGGUGCUCCGUCGCCACUGAAGCUCCAUCGCCGUUGCUAGGGCUUGUUGCCAUCGCCGUUCUGCCACCGUUGGGCUGCUGUGCUGCCGCCGAGGAGCUCGAAGGGAUGUCUCGCCGCCAUCAUGCUUUGUCACCAAGCUGUUGCGUUGUCGCUCAUCUCUUCUUCACCGUCGCCGCUCAUCUCUUCUUCACCGUCGCCGCUCAUCACCAGCGUCAUAUCCUCUGUCACCAGUUCGAAAGUGGGUAUGGUUUUGAUAGUGAUGAUGAAUUGCAACGGCUAAUUAAGAUAGAGAAGCGAGCUUGAUGCAGCUGCCACCAAGCUGCAGAAGGUUUAUAAGAGUUACCGUACCAGAAGAAACUUGGCAGAUUGUGCUGUGGUAGUGGAGGAACUAUGGUGGAAGACAUUGGAUUUUGCUACUCUUAAAAGGAGUUCAGUUUCAUUCUUUGAUGUGGAGAAACAAGAAUCUGCUGUGUCAAGGUGGGCAAGGGCAAGAACAAGAGCAGCUAAGGUAGCUAACCUCCGUGAAAGGUUCGAGCAACACAGACACGUGGAUUUGUUAAAUGGCAUUUGUGCUUCCAAGAAAAGCAAUGCUCGAUUUAAAAUAAAUGACAUUUGUGCUUCCAAGCUUCAUUGGCAAUUGCAUUUUGCCAUAGCCAUUGCUUACUCUCCUUUAUUUAGUGAAGCUUUCAUGGCCCAAGACAUUGGUCAAUAAGUGGUUCAAUAUCAAGUGCAAAACUGAUAACUUUCAAGUAGAUGAUGAUGCUGAUGAUGAUGUCCUUUAUCAAGGGAUACUUUUCAGAAUUCAUUUGGUUCUAUAAUUUUGUUUUCUUCAUGUGUCGCGAGACUGGUCAAAAGAAUAUUUCUGUAAGCAGGGCAGUAACUGCUUGGAAAUUAGUUCUUGCUGGGAAUGAACAAGAGAAUGAACAAGGGAACGAACACUGAUACAAUUGUUAAGGCCAGGAGUUUUCUUGAUGGUGAUGAAGAUCAGCAUGAAAAAGAUGUGUUUGAGAAGAAUUUGAAGUGACUACAUAUGUUUCGGAGACUGAGAUGGUUUGUGGGUCUGAAUCAGAAGAAUUUGUCAACAAAGAGGUUGGGCAAUGUUGAGCAGCAACCUGGAUCUGAAAGGCCAAGCCAGCUCCCUGUGUUAGAUGCUGUUCAUGAAGUUGUUGUUUACAUUCAUAGGUUUCAUAAUCUUGACCUUUUUUAACAAGGAUGGUACAAAAUCAAGGUUACCGUGAGAUGGGAGGUGGGUGAAGAUUCCUUUCCUGGGAUUCCACCACGAGUUGUUCAAUAUGAAGGUCACAUAUGUUCCUAAACUAUUUAUUGUUGUUGUGAAUGAGAAGAAGAAGAAGAUGAUGAAAAAGGAAGAAGAAAGAAGAUAUGAGAAGAAGGGUUGUUAUGAGAAGAAGAAGACGAAGGAUUGUUGUUGUGAAUGAGAAAGGAAGAGAAGAGGGAUCUGCGUUUGGUUACAUGUUUUUUUUUUAAUUUUUGUUUAAGGAUAAAAUUUUCCAAAAAUAUUGUUCAUUACAAAAGGAUGAUUUUAUAACGUUUUGUAAUGUUGAGGAUGAUUUUAAUAACGAAAAAAGGUCGGAGACGAUUUUGAUUUUGAGUCAAGAUCUUAGGGACGAAAAAAAUAUUUAACCCUAUAUUUUUUGUUACUCU